Long non-coding RNA from Acanthochromis polyacanthus (spiny chromis), 486 nucleotides. RefSeq lists it as uncharacterized. The transcript is spliced from 2 exons. NCBI's taxonomy places the organism in Eukaryota, Metazoa, Chordata, Actinopteri, Pomacentridae. The record is from RefSeq and is a predicted model, not a curated record.
GCCAGAACAGAGGGUUGCCACGGCGAUGAGGUUGGUCUGUCUCCCACGGCGUGGUCUGGGAAGAGCAGCAGCUUGCUCUGACAUUUACUCAGGCUGGAAGAAACAGAGACGAUGGAGCAGAGAGACACACAGACGUGCACACACAGAGAGCUAGAAGAGAGGGCAAAGCGUGAGCAAAUGGCUGUUGCAUAAAGUGGAUGGAAUAAACAAUGGCACCUGGAAAAAAAUCUGAGGGCUGACACACACACGGAGAAUUGGCCGUCGCUUUAGGUAGUGAUGGUGAAAUCGAAGCUUCAUGAAGCAAUGAACCACUUCGACACAUCUGCUUCAAGAAUGACACAUUGCUUCGAAGCAUUUGACACAACCAGAAGAGUGACAUCUGCUGGUCCUGUGUCAGAACUGCAUCCAAGUGGAAACAACUGAAAAAGCCUCAGGACUGCUUGUCUCACACUGCUUUGUACUUGCAAUAAAUGUUUUAAAACGUUA